AGGAAGUAAAAGUCGUAACAAGGUCUCCGUUGGUGAACCAGCGGAGGGAUCAUUACCGAGUUUACAACUCCCAAACCCCUGUGAACAUACCACUUGUUGCCUCGGCGGAUCAGCCCGCUCCCGGUAAAACGGGACGGCCCGCCAGAGGACCCCUAAACUCUGUUUCUAUAUGUAACUUCUGAGUAAAACCAUAAAUAAAUCAAAACUUUCAACAACGGAUCUCUUGGUUCUGGCAUCGAUGAAGAACGCAGCAAAAUGCGAUAAGUAAUGUGAAUUGCAGAAUUCAGUGAAUCAUCGAAUCUUUGAACGCACAUUGCGCCCGCCAGUAUUCUGGCGGGCAUGCCUGUUCGAGCGUCAUUUCAACCCUCAAGCACAGCUUGGUGUUGGGACUCGCGUUAAUUCGCGUUCCUCAAAUUGAUUGGCGGUCACGUCGAGCUUCCAUAGCGUAGUAGUAAAACCCUCGUUACUGGUAAUCGUCGCGGCCACGCCGUUAAACCCCAACUUCUGAAUGUUGACCUCGGAUCAGGUAGGAAUACCCGCUGAACUUAAGCAUAUCUAA
RNAcentral lists this unclassified non-coding RNA (559 nucleotides) under Fusarium oxysporum 247. RNAcentral's name for it is "sequence contains 18S rRNA gene, ITS1, 5.8S rRNA gene, ITS2, 28S rRNA gene". The stretch from base 204 to 357 matches the Rfam family "5.8S ribosomal RNA". Lineage: Eukaryota; Fungi; Ascomycota; Sordariomycetes; Hypocreales; Nectriaceae. The record is from RNAcentral.